Molecule: RNA transcript, 1761 nt
Organism: Sesamum indicum (sesame)
Lineage: Eukaryota; Viridiplantae; Streptophyta; Magnoliopsida; Lamiales; Pedaliaceae
Gene name: protein BYPASS1-LIKE
Source: RefSeq, a predicted model, not a curated record
CAUUUGUGAGCAUUCCAAAUUUUUCCUUUUUUUUUUUUCUUUCUCAGCCAAAGGGCGGGGGGCUUCGUGUCCUUCGCUAGGGUUUCAAUUUCCCUUUGGCUUUGAAAUUUUUUGUUUUCUGGGUCUCGAGGAAUUUUGAUGUUGGCAUUCGUGUACGCGUAACACAUCGAGGAUUUUGAAGAGAUCUGUUAUACUUUGAAGAAUGCCUUCCUCAGACAGUCAUGGAUCCACUAUGCCGUUUGCUUCGUUUCGUCGGUCUAUCUUGACCAUUAGAAGCGAUCAGGUUCAUACGGAAAUGAGCCAUGAUCCAAAUAUGCAGGACCUGGAAUUAUUUCAAAGACAAGUCUUUGCCCGGUUUCAUGAGCUUUCACUGGCUAAAGCUGAUGACUUCCUCUCCGUUUCUUGGAUACAAAAGCUGUUAGAUGCAUUUACUGGCUGUCAAGAGGAUUUCAGAGCCAUUCUUUGUAAAAAUAAAGUGCUGCUUUCAAAACCACCAGCAGAUAAGUUUGCUACUGAAUACUUUGAUCGGGCCAUUAAGGCAAUGGAUAUCUUUAAUGCAACUCGUGAUGGUCUUGAGACAGUUCGUCUGUGGCAGAAACACUUAGAGAUAAUAGUGUGCGCUCUUGAUUCUAACUCGAAGAUGAUUGGCGAAGGUCAGUUGCGUCGAGCAAGAAAAGCCUUGAUGGAUUUGGCACUUCUGAUGCUAGAUGACAAAGAUACUGGUUCUGUAUUUUCACAUAGAAACCGGUCUUUUGGUCGUAAAGGCAAGGAUCACCAUCGUGGUCCAUCAGGGCACUCUAGAUCACUAUCUUGGAGUGUAUCACAUACUUGGUCAGCUUCUAAGCAGCUCCAGUCUUUUGCCAACAAUUUGCUUUCACCUCGUGCAAAUGAAGUGACAGCCACUAAUGGUCUGGCUAUGCUCAUCUUUUCGAUGAGCUUUAUUGUCAUGUUUGUUUUAUGGGUUCUUGUUGCUGCAAUCCCCUGUCAAGAUCGAGGUGUUCAAAUUCAUUUUGCAAUCCCUCGUCAAUUCCCAUGGACUUCACCAUUCUUUUUGCUUCAUAGUCGGAUAAUGGAUGAAUCCAAGAAGAGAGAUCGACGUAAUUCCAGUGGAUUAUUAAAGGAAAUAUAUGAAAUAGAGAAGUGUGUGCAUCAGAUGACUGACUUGGUAGAUGCGGCUCAGUUCCCACUGUCGGAGGAACUGAAGGAAGAACUAAGAGAGAAUGUAGAGGAGUUGUCGGUAGUUUGUCAAGCUUUCAAGACUGGACUGGAUCCACUAGAACGGAAGUUGCGGGAUACAUUCAGGAAGGUUAUGAGUUGCCGCACUGAGGGUCUUGAUUUACUAGGCAAGGCUACUGAACCAUAACGAAGCGGUGUGGGAAGGAAGAAAAAAUUGCAAAUAUUUUAUCAUAUUAGUUUUUACCAGCUUAAUUGAAGGGAAGCAGUCAGAUUGUUGCCAACAGUAAUAUAUUUAUCAGGUUUGUUUACAUGGGUUUCAAUGAUUGGCCUCAGAAUCCAGUGAGAUUAUUCCUGGCAAAAAUCUGGCACUGAAACUGAAGUAAACUACCAAUUCUGAGUCAUUUCUCGGCAGUAGCUGUAUUUCUUAAUUUGGUGAGCAAAAGUAAUGUAGUAGGGAUUAAGAAUUAUGGUUGAGAAGAUACAUAGAGAAUAGAAGAACAAUAUCAAGAAAAAUGUUAGCUGCACAUGAUGUUCUCCUGUCAAUUAUUACAGAACAAUUUUUAUUUAUUUAUUUUGUGUGGCUAA